UGUUUUCUCUGAUUCUAAAAUGUGGGGGCUUCUCCCUCACUCAUUUCCCAGGUUAAUGGCUAUAAUUGGAGCCAACUGUGGUUAAGACUACCUUGGGACAGGGACUUUAAGGAAUAUUCCCAAGC
This is a long non-coding RNA of Mustela erminea (ermine), 125 nucleotides long. RefSeq lists it as uncharacterized. The record is from RefSeq and is a predicted model, not a curated record. The transcript has 3 exons. NCBI's taxonomy places the organism in Eukaryota, Metazoa, Chordata, Mammalia, Carnivora, Mustelidae.